This 511-nucleotide ribosomal RNA is filed under the name uncultured bacterium. Its description in RNAcentral is "partial 16S ribosomal RNA". It matches the Rfam family "Bacterial small subunit ribosomal RNA", at positions 28 to 507 of the family's 1533-position model. The record is from RNAcentral.
GACGAACGCUGGCGGCAUGCCUAACACAUGCAAGUCGAACGGAAAGACCCGGCUUGCUUUUCGGAGUGGAAUUGGAAAGUUAGUGGUGGCAGGGUGAUUACCGCGUGUACAACUUACCAUGUCAUGAGGAAACAGCUCGUGAAACCGAAGCUAAUACCCUACAAUAACCUUGCUUUGCGAGAAGUACGGCGGAUAGGCGGCCACUGCGCUGUCGUCAGCUGAUGGGUCGGGGUCUGACUAGCUAGUUGGUGGGGUAAUGGCCCGCCAGGGCGACGAGCCGUAGCCGGCCUGAGAGAGUGAUCGGCCGCAUGGGAGCUGGAACACGGACCAAACGCCUGCGGUAGGCAGCAGUGGGGAAUGUGCGGCAAUGGUCGAGAGCCUGACGGAGCGAGGCCGCGUGUGUGGAGAAGGCGUUCGGUGUGUAAUGCUCUGUCCUGAGCGAAGAGAGGCUUUUGUAGGUGCUGACGAUACUGUGACGGUAGAUGGUGAAGAAGCCCCGGCUAACUAUGUG